Molecule: unclassified non-coding RNA, 308 nt
Filed under: plant metagenome
Description: partial contains 5.8S ribosomal RNA, internal transcribed spacer 2, and large subunit ribosomal RNA
Rfam family: 5.8S ribosomal RNA (bases 1-105)
Source: RNAcentral
GAAAUGCGAUAAGUAAUGUGAAUUGCAGAAUUCAGUGAAUCAUCGAAUCUUUGAACGCACAUUGCGCCCCUUGGUAUUCCGGGGGGUAUGCCUGUUCGAGCGUCAUUACAACCCUCAAGCUCUGCUUGGAAUUGGGCACCGUCCUCACUGCGGACGCGCCUCAAAGACCUCGGCGGUGGCUGUUCAGCCCUCAAGCGUAGUAGAAUACACCUCGCUUUGGAGCGGUUGGCGUCGCCCGCCGGACGAACCUUCUGAACUUUUCUCAAGGUUGACCUCGGAUCAGGUAGGGAUACCCGCUGAACUUAAGC